UACGAAGGGGGCUAGCGUUGCUCGGAAUUACUGGGCGUAAAGGGCGCGUAGGCGGAUAUCUAAGUUGGGGGUGAAAUCCCGGGGCUCAACCUCGGAAUUGCCUUCAAAACUGGAUAUCUUGAGUUCGGGAGAGGUGAGUGGAACUCCGAGUGUAGAGGUGAAAUUCGUAGAGAUGUGGAGGAACACCGAUGACGAAGGCAGCCUCCUGGGCCAGCACUGACGCUCUUGCACGAAAGCGUGGGGAGCAAACAGG
This 253-nucleotide ribosomal RNA is filed under the name uncultured bacterium. Its description in RNAcentral is "partial 16S ribosomal RNA". It matches the Rfam family "Bacterial small subunit ribosomal RNA", at positions 524 to 776 of the family's 1533-position model. The record is from RNAcentral.